RNAcentral lists this ribosomal RNA (432 nucleotides) under uncultured bacterium. RNAcentral describes it as "partial 16S ribosomal RNA". It matches the Rfam family "Bacterial small subunit ribosomal RNA", at positions 29 to 506 of the family's 1533-position model. The record is from RNAcentral.
AACGAACGCUGGCGGCAUGCCUAACACAUGCAAGUCGAACGAGACCUUCGGGUCUAGUGGCGCACGGGUGCGUAACGCGUGGGAACCUGCCCUUAGGUUCGGAAUAACUCCCCGAAAGGGGUGCUAAUACCGGAUAAUGUCUUCGGACCAAAGAUUUAUCGCCUUUGGAUGGGCCCGCGUUGGAUUAGCUAGUUGGUAGGGUAAAAGCCUACCAAGGCGACGAUCCAUAGCUGGUCUGAGAGGAUGAUCAGCCACACUGGGACUGAGACACGGCCCAGACCCCUACGGGGGGCAGCAGUGGGGAAUAUGGGACAAGGGGCGAAAGCCUGACCCAGCAAUGCCGGGUGAGUGAUGAAGGCCUUAGGGUUGUAAAGCUCUUUUACCCGGGAUGAUAAUGACAGUACCGGGAGAAUAAGCCCCGGCUAACUCCGU